AUGUUUAGUGUAAUGUAAAUUAAAUUCACUGCUUCCAGUUAAAAAUGAUGAUUGUUGUGUAGCAUGCUAGGAUUUAUGUACUUUGAUGCUCAUAAUGUUUGUGUUCAGGUGGUGAUCAUUCUUGGCAUCAUAAAGGAGUUCAACAUCCAAAUGGGUUAACUUAUAAUGGUGACUGGAUCUUAAACUAAGAUGUUUCAAGACAAGGAGUAACUGUUGCAGUUAUUAGGGCUUUCUUCUGAUCUGUCUGAUGAAGAAGGCAUUGUUAUGUUUGUCUUUCAUGAACCACUUGGGGGUGAUUGUAGAAAAAGCAGCUAGGAGGCAUGGGAAAGCGACCAGAGAUGAAACUUUCAUUGGUUCCCAAUGUGCCGGACUGGGGUUCGCCAGAUGAUGCUUUCUAGGUGCUCCUUGUAUUCCAGCAUCUGAGAUGGAGUUUAGAGGGAUGUCGUAGUAAACAUACUUAUUACGUACAGAUCGGCCAUUGAAUAGUCAGUGGGUUGUUUAAUUUCUUUAAUGGAUCCAGUUUUUGUGUCAGCAACAAUUCAUGUUGAUUCUGGAGUUAGCUCUGACGGUCAGAGAAAUUCUGAGGAACCGAGGAAGAAGACGUUGAUGAGAAUGAGAAACACAGGAGAGAUCGAAGAAGGUGAGAUUGUUCUUCUGAAAGACUUAUGUUGGUUUAUUUCCUUCGAAGCCUUCCAGUAUUUCUGCACCUGAAGAAGGACCCAAAUGCUUCAACAGAUUUUAGGCAUCCACUAAAGAAGGAUGGAUUUGUGCGCAUGAGCUCUCCUAAGUUGAUGCUUGCUAGUUUAAACUGUAUUGCUUAUCUUUAUUUUUUCCUUCUUUUGUUUAUUUUGUUACCUUUCCCCGUACCUGAAGUUCAUGUGUUUUUCUGUUACGGAUUGAGGAUAUGACUAUUAGUAUUAUCACUAUGAGCUAUGUGUUCUUAUAUAUUUGAAAAAGCCAUAUUUUAA
Molecule: long non-coding RNA, 968 nt
Organism: Papaver somniferum (opium poppy)
Lineage: Eukaryota; Viridiplantae; Streptophyta; Magnoliopsida; Ranunculales; Papaveraceae
Exons: 4
Source: RefSeq, a predicted model, not a curated record